Molecule: ribosomal RNA, 491 nt
Filed under: uncultured bacterium
Lineage: Bacteria
Description: partial 16S ribosomal RNA
Rfam family: Bacterial small subunit ribosomal RNA
Source: RNAcentral
AUUGAACGCUGGCGGUAGGCCUAACACAUGCAAGUCGAACGGCAGCACAGUAAGAGCUUGCUCUUACGGGUGGCGAGUGGCGGACGGGUGAGGAAUACAUCGGAAUCUACUUUUUCGUGGGGGAUAACGUAGGGAAACUUACGCUAAUACCGCAUACGACCUACGGGUGAAAGCAGGGGAUCUUCGGACCUUGCGCGAUUGAAUGAGCCGAUGUCGGAUUAGCUAGUUGGCGGGGUAAAGGCCCACCAAGGCGACGAUCCGUAGCUGGUCUGAGAGGAUGAUCAGCCACACUGGAACUGAGACACGGUCCAGACUCCGACGGGAGGCAGCAGUGGGGAAUAUUGGACAAUGGGCGCAAGCCUGAUCCAGCCAUACCGCGUGGGUGAAGAAGGCCUGCGGGUUGUAAAGCCCUUUUGUUGGGAAAGAAAAGCAGCAGGUUAAUACCCCGCUGUUCUGACGGUACCCAAAGAAUAAGCACCGGCUAACUGCGU